Apis laboriosa (Himalayan honeybee) is the source of this 4342-nucleotide RNA transcript. It is a transcript of the gene named SCY1-like protein 2, with no coding region annotated. The transcript is spliced from 19 exons. The record is from RefSeq and is a predicted model, not a curated record. NCBI's taxonomy places the organism in Eukaryota, Metazoa, Arthropoda, Insecta, Hymenoptera, Apidae.
CCUACCUCUCCCAGUUAAUUCUCCCUACUUUUAGACCAAAGUAUGGCAUCCCCUAACCCCUAUCCGCUAUCCCGUGACCCGCAGCCGCAGCUACCUGCAGCCCAGACCUAUAAUUUCCAGGCAGAGACCUACACCCUGGCCAGAGCCGGAACCAAGCUGGAGCCGAGGUCGUAGCCAAAGCCAUAGCCGGGAUCGGAGGACGCGCAUGCGUCUUUUUAUCAUUUCCUUGCGACUUUCUCGCUCUUCCAUCGAAUAUAUCAACGUUAAUUCGUACAACGUUCAUCAUCGAGAACAAAAAAGAGGUCGAAAACGAAGACGAAAGUUUUAUAAUAUUGUCGAUUAUCGCAAUGAUAAUGCCAACUUAUACCAUUAUCGUUAUUAUUAAUUAACUCGGCAAAUACUCGAAAACGAAGACGGAAAUAGUGCCGGGAAUAAGGACAAGAACAAGGAUAAGAACAAGAACAAAGACGAAAAUAGACGCGAAUACGAGAGCAACGAAAACAGCAAUAAUAACGACAUUUAAUACGUCUCAAGUGUCAGAUAUCACGUUAGUGAAGACGACAAAUGAAAGAAUAGGAAAAAGAAGGAAAAUAAAAACGUGGAUUAGACGACGGAAGAAAGGAAGAAAUAAAGAUACGUUGAUUUUCGAAUAUCGAAAACGAACGAUCAAAGUGUCUAUGGCAUGAUGGUUAUUGAAUUGUUCAAUAUUAGUGAAGAUAUUUAAGUGACAGUUUGAAGAAAAGGAAGAAAAGAUUAUCGAAAAGUGUGUGACAAUUCGUAUCGAAUAGUGAUGCAGUCGCGCGUCAAUCGUGCCCUACUGUUCCUUUGGAUUCCUCGCGCGAUCCUCGCGCGGCGCGCGCGUGCUCCGAACUAUCGCGCAUCGCGCAUUACCCUUCUUUCAGUUUCUUCAUGCUUAUAGUGCUUCUAUUCCCGUUGUCGUCGGCAACAGGUAUAGCAGGUGUGUGUCUGACGUCCGAUAAGACGAUUACAAAAGGAAAUUGAAAGAAGCGAUUGAUACACGAUCGAAAGUAAUUCGAUGAACAUUGAGGAUUAACAUAAGUGUCGUUAUGUUUGCCAAGUCGAAAAGUAGUGGCUCGACACCGAGCGUUCUACUUCCUAAUCCUCUUCAGAAUUUGUACGACGUUGGCAAACAAACGGCUACAGCAGGACCCGAAAACGCCUGGCGUAUAUACAAUGGAUACACGAAAGCGGAUCGAAAGGAAGUUUCGAUAUUUUUCUUUGACAAAAGAUCGGUCGAUAAACUUCACAAGCCGAAGCGGAAAGAAGCGGUUACGGAAAUUUUACGAAACGGAGCACGACAAAUGGAACGAGUUUCUCAUCCAAAGAUUCUGCAGGCAUACAAGGUCGAAGAAUGCGCUGAUAGUUUGGCAUUCGCGUCGGAGCCAGUUCUCGCUAGUCUUGCGAACGUUUUAGCUUAUCAAGAGCAACGAGCGAAUAACGUCGGCCAAUCGUCGACUAACGUAACGAAACAAAUUUCUUCAACCCCUAGUCAUCGUGCUCCGUUCACGAAAGAGUACGAGUUACUCGAUAUAGAGAUCAAAUAUGGAUUGUUGCAGAUCACAGAGGCUUUACUUUAUCUUCACGGAACACGCAAAGUCCUUCACAGGAACGUUUGUCCCGCGAGCAUUAUAAUUACCAAAAGGGGCACUUGGAAAUUGUCAGGUCUCGAAUUUAUCGAAAAAAUGAAGGAGUUGCCAAUGAUAUCGUUGCAACCUUGGACCAAUCGCAUGUCAAAAAUGACGCAACCGAAUCUCGAUUACAUAGCACCGGAAAUACAGCAAAAGAAAGAGGGGGGCUUCUAUAGCGACAUGUACAGCUUUGGUAUGACGAUAUGCGCAAUUUUCAAUCAAGGGCGACCAUUGAUUCAAGCGAAUCAUAACUGUUCCGAGUAUUUAAAACAAUUAGAAAACCUCGAAGAACAAGUUCAUGUGAUAUUACCUUUAGUUCCCCUUCCUCUUCGAGAAGCUGUUUCUCGACUUUUACACAUCGAUCCAGAGAAGAGGCCAACCAUUCAAGUUUUAUCCAUGAUCAAAUAUUUUCAAGAUCCACCCGUAUACGCGCUUCAAUUUCUCGAUGUCAGUAAGAUGAAAGACGCGUUGCAAAAGGAGCAUUUUUAUACAACUACUUUAAAAGGAAUAUUACCUUAUAUACCAAGGAAACUUUGGUAUCAACAUAUUUGGACGUAUCUGCAAACUGAAUUGGAAAGUGAAGAAGUUCAAUCGGCUGUAUUACAACCGGUACUUUAUAUCGUACAAAAUAGUACGCAAGAGGAAUACGAUCAAAUUGUAUUUCCAUCGUUACGAUCGCUUUUCUCGAAUCGUAAAUCGGUUCACGGAACGGUUACGUUGCUGGAAAAUUUGCAUUUGAUAUUAAAAAAGACAUCUCGAGAAUAUAUAGAAAGCGAAGUGCUUCCGAUGUUGUACACAUCCUUUGAGAAUUCAACUACACAAGUGCAGACUGCAGCGUUCGUAGCCGUGUCGAAUGUGACUGAUUACAUACACGAUGAGGCUGUUCGAAACAUCGUGUUGCCGAAAUUACUUCAAGCAUUUGAAAAAAAUUUAGUGGAUUCCCGAAUACUUAUGAACGUGAUACCCUGUAUUUUAAAUCGUUUGGAAAAGCAAAAAAUCAUCGAUUGUAUCUUACCAUUAUUGUUCAAUGUAAAACUUCAAGAACCGGAGAUAAUCGUUCGGGUUGUGAAGAUUUACAGAUUAAUGUUAAACGACAAAAAAUAUGGAUUAUCUGUGAAUUGGAUGGCAACUAGAGCAAUGCCUUCUUUACUACCUCAAACUAUUAACCCAGCAUUGAAUCUCGAGCAGUUUGAACUACUUCUCAAAGUGUUACAAGAUAUGUUGAAUCACAUCGAAAGAAAUCAAAGGAAUCAAUUGACGCUGGAUAAUUUGUCAUUAUCGAGCCCGGAACGGUAUCGAAGUUUGCGACAUCAACACAGUACGGACAAUAUGUACGUUGCCCCCUUUAAUAUACCAAAUCUACGUAUCGAGCAACGUAAAACUUCUUCGGCUGAAGACAUGGCUCGGAAAAAUAGCACGAAUUCGAUGUCGACGACAGUUUCAGCUGAAAACAUGGCAAGAAAGAACUCGAUGAUAACCAUGUUCAGAUGGUUCUCAUCAUCGAACAACGAUAACAGUAAUUUCUUAAAAGUGACGAAUACAUUUACGAGCAGACGGUUAUCGGAUAAUACUUUGAUGACACCGAAAAUACGGGUAGCACCAUCGUGCGAAAGUUCCCCAGGUGCUACACCAGGUGAUGGAUUACCCAUUCGACGACACUCGAGCACCGGUCCUCAAGACCGACGGGGAUCUAACAUAAAUUUAUCGCCCCCCUUGGGUGGAAUGCCGAUUACCAGUAGCAGUGUUCCGUACCUGGUUAGCUCGAGCAUGAAUAGUAUACGCGGCUCGAGACGUCCUUCGGUCUCUUCAACAUCUUCCCAACAAGGACUGUUGCAGCAGGUUGGCUCCAGCAUGGUAAGACAACAACCCCCCAUCUGCCUCAACCUCAAUGGACUACCACCACCAUCACCACCACCACCACAACCACCACCACAACCACCAACACUUUCUCCAUUACUCCAGCUACCGGGACAGUCUUUCCACUGACCCUCCGUCACAGUUAUCAAUUCUUCAAUAAACAAUUCGAUGGUUAAAUCUUUCGUCGACGAUCAAGUUUCGUAGGAUAUUUACAUUAAAAUUAACAACGUAAGGAACAAUUGGUUACCGUCCGUGCUACGAAAGGAGACAUAGAGGAACGAAAAAAAAUAAUUUUAUAACCAUCUCCUGUUAACGAUAAAAUGAUAUAUUCCACUACACUUAUUUACAUAUAUAAUAAAUUGGACCUGAGAACGUCGGUGAAGAUCACUUCUAUAAAUGAGCACGGACUUUGAUUUCUUGUAAAGAAAUCAAACGACUUCAGACCUUUUAAAGUGGCCUAACCUCAUAAAAAUUACAUUAGUUAUAUUAUCUGUGUCAUUAUUCAAGAUUCCAAUAAAAUAUGGACGUGUAUAAAAAUACAUGCACACGUGUACCAUCUGUAAUUGCACGUGUAAUCUAUGGAACAAUUUGCAACGAAUUCAUGAAUUGAAUAAUAAAUGAAAGUAACGCAAUAUAUAAUAGGAAAAUGGGAAUAUAUGUAUGUAUUUUGUAUCGAAAAGAGAAAAAGAGAAACGACUUCUCAUAUUUAUUCUCGCAUUAAGUUUUGUUAUUUUAACUCAACAUCGACUACACGUGCAUGUAUACAGUCAGUCACGAAAGUUUUCAACGUGAGUUCAAUUAACAAAUUGUUUUAUCGAAACAAUAAUUCUUGUAAU